GAUGAACGCUGGCGGCGUGCCUAAUACAUGCAAGUCGAGCGAACAGACGAGGAGCUUGCUCCUCUGACGUUAGCGGCGGACGGGUGAGUAACACGUGGAUAACCUACCUAUAAGACUGGGAUAACUUCGGGAAACCGGAGCUAAUACCGGAUAAUAUAUUGAACCGCAUGGUUCAAUAGUGAAAGACGGUUUUGCUGUCACUUAUAGAUGGAUCCGCGCCGCAUUAGCUAGUUGGUAAGGUAACGGCUUACCAAGGCAACGAUGCGUAGCCGACCUGAGAGGGUGAUCGGCCACACUGGAACUGAGACACGGUCCAGACUCCUACGGGAGGCAGCAGUGGGGAAUCUUCCGCAAUGGGCGAAAGCCUGACGGAGCAACGCCGCGUGAGUGAAGAAGGUCUUCGGGUCGUAAAACACUGUUAUUCGGGAAGAACAAAUGUGUAAGUAACUAUGCACGUCAUGACGGUACCUAAUCAGAAAGCCACGGCUAACUACGUG
This 497-nucleotide ribosomal RNA is filed under the name uncultured bacterium. RNAcentral describes it as "partial 16S ribosomal RNA". It matches the Rfam family "Bacterial small subunit ribosomal RNA", at positions 28 to 507 of the family's 1533-position model. The record is from RNAcentral.